GUGAGGAAUUUUCCGCAAUGGGCGAAAGCCUGACGCAGCCAUGCCGCGUGAAUGAUGAAGGUCUUAGGAUUGUAAAAUUCUUUCACCGGGGACGAUAAUGACGGUACCCGGAGAAGAAGCUCCGGCUAACUUCGUGCCAGCAGCCGCGGUAAUACGAAGGGGGCUAGCGUUGCUCGGAAUUACUGGGCGUAAAGGGCGCGUAGGCGGACAGCUUAGUCAGAGGUGAAAGCCCAGGGCUCAACCUUGGAAUUGCCUUUGAUACUGGCUGUCUUGAGUUUGGGAGAGGUGAGUGGAACUCCGAGUGUAGAGGUGAAAUUCGUAGAUAUUCGGAAGAACACCAGUGGCGAAGGCGACUCACUGGCCCAAUACUGACGCUGAGGCGCGAAAGCGUGGGGAGCAAACAGGAUUAGAAACCCGGGUAGUCC
This 425-nucleotide ribosomal RNA is filed under the name uncultured bacterium. RNAcentral's name for it is "partial 16S ribosomal RNA". It matches the Rfam family "Bacterial small subunit ribosomal RNA", at positions 354 to 796 of the family's 1533-position model. The record is from RNAcentral.